RNAcentral lists this ribosomal RNA (253 nucleotides) under uncultured bacterium. RNAcentral's name for it is "partial 16S ribosomal RNA". It matches the Rfam family "Bacterial small subunit ribosomal RNA", at positions 524 to 776 of the family's 1533-position model. The record is from RNAcentral.
UACGUAGGGCGCAAGCGUUGUCCGGAAUUAUUGGGCGUAAAGAGCUCGUAGGCGGUCUGUCGCGUCGGAUGUGAAAGCCCGGGGCUCACCCCCGGAAGUGCAUUGGAAACUGACAGACUGGAGUCCCGGAGAGGAGGGUGGAAUUCCUGGUGUAGCGGUGAAAUGCGUAGAUAUCAGGAGGAACACCGGUGGCGAAGGCGGCCCUCUGGACGGUGACUGACGCUGAGACGCGAAAGCGUGGGGAGCAAACAGG